RNAcentral lists this ribosomal RNA (245 nucleotides) under Carria sp. JM553. Its description in RNAcentral is "partial 28S ribosomal RNA". Lineage: Eukaryota; Metazoa; Arthropoda; Insecta; Hymenoptera; Ichneumonidae. The record is from RNAcentral.
CAGACCCUCGGUUGUCUGACCAGCUGCCCGGCGGUACUCGCACGGUAUCGAGCCGCAGAUAUUUAAAACUGCGUCCGGCCCGCCGCAAGCGCGGCCAGUGUUUACCCGGAUGUACGGACCUAGCGCCGUCGUCGGGCCUGGCCAGCUGUUGGCCGGCGGUGUCCUGGGACUGGCUCUUCCAUUAUUACCGGUCGGCGAUGCUACUGCUUUGGGUACUUUCAGGACCCGUCUUGAAACACGGACCA